GGAUGUAAGAGCAAUCUGACUGUGACAUCUAUCACUCCAUUGAUCACCUAAGCUGAUAGAGCUGAUCUGGCUGACUAGGUGGAUGUCCAGUUUCUCCCUCAUCACUCUCCUGAAGUUACAUAUGCUCCACUCAGAGGAUUGUCUUUCCUGAAUAGAGGAGGACUAGUCUUCUUCAUGUAGCUAUGCUCCACUGCUAGAACCUCCAAACAAACUCAAGUUUUGUAAAUUAUAAGUUUAAUUCCAAGACUAUUUUUGUUCUCUGUGUAUUCUUACUGUUAGUAAGCACUGCUUA
Molecule: unclassified non-coding RNA, 292 nt
Organism: Mesocricetus auratus (golden hamster)
Lineage: Eukaryota; Metazoa; Chordata; Mammalia; Rodentia; Cricetidae
Gene: 7SK
Rfam family: 7SK RNA
About the family: 7SK was discovered as an abundant small nuclear RNA in the mid-70s but a possible function has only recently been suggested. Two independent studies have found that 7SK RNA binds the CDK9/cyclin T complex (known as elongation factor P-TEFb).
Source: Ensembl